RNAcentral lists this ribosomal RNA (459 nucleotides) under uncultured bacterium. RNAcentral describes it as "partial 16S ribosomal RNA". It matches the Rfam family "Bacterial small subunit ribosomal RNA", at positions 338 to 795 of the family's 1533-position model. The record is from RNAcentral.
CCUACGGGUGGCAGCAGUGAGGAAUAUUGGUCAAUGGUCGUAAUCCUGAACCAGCCAAGCCGCGUGCGGGAUGACGGCCCUAUGGGUUGUAAACCGCUUUUGUCCGGGGAUAAAAUCCGUCACGUGUCAUGGACUGUAUGUAUCGCAUGAAAAAGCAUCGGCUAAUUCCGUGCCAGCAGCCGCGGUAAUACGGAGGAUGCGAGCGUUAUCCGGAUUUAUUGGGUUUAAAGGGUGCGUAGGCGGAAUGCCAAGUGAGCGGUAAAAUCCCGGGGCUCAACCUCGGUCCGCGGUGGAAACUGGCUGUCUUGAGUGGGCGAAAAGUAUGCGGAAUGCGUGGUGUAGCGGUGAAAUGCAUAGAUAUCACGAAGAACUCCGAUUGCGAAGGCAGCAUACGGGAGCGCUACUGACGCUGAAGCACGAAAGCGUGGGUAUCGAACAGGAUUAGAUACCCUAGUAGUC